RNAcentral lists this ribosomal RNA (496 nucleotides) under uncultured bacterium. RNAcentral describes it as "partial 16S ribosomal RNA". It matches the Rfam family "Bacterial small subunit ribosomal RNA", at positions 28 to 507 of the family's 1533-position model. The record is from RNAcentral.
GACGAACGCUGGCGGCGUGCCUAAUACAUGCAAGUUGAGCGCUGAAGGUUGGUACUUGUACCGACUGGAUGAGCAGCGAACGGGUGAGUAACGCGUGGGGAAUCUGCCUUUGAGCGGGGGACAACAUUUGGAAACGAAUGCUAAUACCGCAUAAAAACUUUAAACACAAGUUUUAAGUUUGAAAGAUGCAAUUGCAUCACUCAAAGAUGAUCCCGCGUUGUAUUAGCUAGUUGGUGAGGUAAAGGCUCACCAAGGCGAUGAUACAUAGCCGACCUGAGAGGGGGAUAGGCAAAAUUGGAACUGAGACACGGCCCAAACUCCUACGGGAGGCAGCAGAAGGGAAUCUUCGGCAAUGGACGAAAGCCUGACGAGCAACGCCGCGUGAGUGAAGAAGGUUUUCGGAUCGUAAAACUCUGUUGGUAGAGAAGAACGUUGGUGAGAGUGGAAAGCUCAUCAAGUGACGGUAACUACCCAGAAAGGGACGGCUAACUACGUG